Molecule: ribosomal RNA, 472 nt
Filed under: uncultured bacterium
Lineage: Bacteria
Description: SSU rRNA
Rfam family: Bacterial small subunit ribosomal RNA
Source: RNAcentral
AGGAUAAACGCUGGCGGCGUGCCUAACACAUGCAAGUCGAACGUCUCUUUCUUCGGGAAGAGGAGUGGCGGACGGGUGAGGAACACGUGGGAACCUGCCCUUCAGUGAGGAAUACCGGCGAGAAAUCGCCGACAAGACCGCAUAGCCCUCUCUGGUGAGAGCCAGAGAAGGAAAGCCUCGCAAGAGGCGCUGGAGGAGGGGCCUGCGUCCGAUUAGCUAGUUGGUGGGGUAAGAGCCUACCAAGGCGUCGAUCGGUAGCUGGUCUGAGAGGACGAUCAGCCACACUGGGAUUGAGAACGGCCCAGACUCCUACGGGGGGCAGCAGUGAGGAAUUUUCGGCAAUGGGGGAAACCCUGACCGAGCAACGCCGCGUGCAGGAAGACGGCCUUCGGGUUGUAAACUGCUUUCUUUGGGUACGAGCAAGGACAGUACCAGAGGAAUCAGCCCCGGCUCACUACGUGCCAGCAGCCGC